Molecule: long non-coding RNA, 454 nt
Organism: Gallus gallus (chicken)
Lineage: Eukaryota; Metazoa; Chordata; Aves; Galliformes; Phasianidae
Source: Ensembl
CAGGCAAACCCAUCUGUGGCUUCGCAGCAUCCCAGCCCGAGGAACAGCAUGUACAUGCACUGUACGUGUAGCACUGCUUUUAAAAUCAGCAAGUCCUCUUUCCAGUAAAGAUGCAAAUGCAGUGAUCCCAGUGAUCACUCUAGGUCUACUUUUCUGCCUUCCUUUCCAAACCAUUAAAUGGCAGAGGAAAAUAUGUUCUGGGAGCCAGAAGUGUAGCUGGAGAAGAGGGUUUCACAGGGGAACUGUCACUUCAGUUUUACAUAGCUGGACUCUCACCUCCAGAGCAAGACAAUUUCAGGCCCAUCUAACAGAGAACCUACUUUUGGAGCUGUAAAGUACAUGACAGGACAAAUUUAAAAGGAUCUGUGAAUACACUGAUUACUACAGCUACGUUACUGGAAUGAUUUGGAUCACAAUCAAUAAAUUCAUUUUUAUACGAAAAUAUAGUGUAUAC